Parasteatoda tepidariorum (common house spider) is the source of this 510-nucleotide long non-coding RNA. The record is from RefSeq and is a predicted model, not a curated record. Lineage: Eukaryota; Metazoa; Arthropoda; Arachnida; Araneae; Theridiidae.
UCGGAGGUUAUCUCUCGCCUAACGAAUUCCGAGAAUCACGAUUUUCAAAUUUUACGUAACUUGUUCAUACAAAUCACACAAUCUAAGAGAAUCAUUGAUACAUUUUGUAAUCACGCUUAAUCUUCUUAUUGAGACUAUCGAAUAUUGAAAAAAUACUGAUGAAAAGAUAUCCAAUGUUUUUGUCUCAAGAUUUGCGACUUACAGUUUUAACACUCUAAGUGCAAAUCACGCAUUGAAUGAUAAGGAAUUUGAAAACUUUUCCUUGUUAAAAAGAAGUUGUCUUCCUGAUUUUCUCAAAGAAUACACUCAAGCCUGACAAUGAACAACCGUUUGAUUCUGAUCUUUAUUUGUUGUUACUUUUUAAUUGGCGCCGUCUUGUGCGCUGAUGAUGACAAUUCACAGAAGGGUUUGUUAGAGAGACUUGUGACGGGAUUAAAAGAUGGCUUAAUUGACGGCAUAACGAAAGUGUUCGAUGUGCUCAUAGCUAUAACGCAGGGUCUUCUCUGAAAA